CCGACCCCGUGGACCGACCCCGUGGACCGACCCAGUUUGAUCAUGUUUUGGGACUCAGCUCAGCGUCCGUUGUCAUCCUCUGACAAAUCAAUGAGUGCUUGGACGAACCUCCUCAGCUCCGGGAUCAGGCACGACACAACAAGCAUGCUGAUGCUGCGGGAACCAACGCACGGGCAUCGAUCGCAGGGACGUC
Long non-coding RNA from Sebastes umbrosus (honeycomb rockfish), 193 nucleotides. RefSeq lists it as uncharacterized. Lineage: Eukaryota; Metazoa; Chordata; Actinopteri; Perciformes; Sebastidae. The record is from RefSeq and is a predicted model, not a curated record. The transcript is spliced from 3 exons.